GCAGAGUAGAAUAACAGAUGGCGAUGGGACCUUUCCGAAUCUCAACAGGUGUCGUGAAAUGGCAUAUGCAAGUAGUACAUCUUUGGGAGUGCGACUUACUGAGGGAGAGGGGAAUUUGCCCAAGCUUGUGCUCACUUCCCCGGCCGGUAGUGAGGCUGAGAUAUACCUGUUUGGAGGUUUCAUUACUUCUUGGAAAGUUCCCAGUGGUAAGGACCUCCUCUUUGUUCGCCCCGACGCUGUUUUCAAUGGGAACAAACCGAUAAGUGGUGGUGUUCCGCAUUGUUUUCCACAGUUUGGUCCUGGUCCAAUUCAGCAGGUACGUGUGCAUCUUUAAUCCACGCUAUUUUCUGCACUUCUUCUUGUUCUUUUUUCCUGUAUAUUUUACUUUUUUUAUGUUAUAUCUGCUGAAUUAAAAUACAAAAAUCUGAGUAUUUUUAAUUAAUAAAACUUACUUCUCUUCAGUGAAAUCAUGAGUGGUGUGAUGACUUCAUUAUGCUGACCUUCUUUUCCAUUGUAUGCUUAUGCUUUCGUUUUUAAAUCAUGAGUGGUGUGGAUUGGACUGUUGUUGAUUCUGAAAACACAUAAGGAAAUCCUGUUGUAACUCUGGAGCUGAAGGAUGGUCCUUAUAGUUGUACUGUGUGGGAUUUCAGCUUCCAUGCUUUAUUCAAGGUCACACUAAAUGCUAAAAGUCUAGCGACUGAGUUAACAGUUAAAAAUACAGACAAUAAAGCAUUCUCAUUUAGUACCACCUUGCACACAUAUUUUCAAGCUUCUGUGAGUAAUGCAUCAGUAAAGGGGUUGAAAGGUUGCAAAACUCUGAACAAAGAUCCAGAUCCUAAAAAUCCAGUGUAGGGUAAGGAAGAAAGGGAAGUUGUCACUUUCCCUGGAUUUGUAGAUUGUGCUUAUCUUGAUGCUUCCAGUGAGUUGCAACUUGACAAUGGUUUGGGUGAUCUGAUAUCUAUCAAGAACACAUUGAUCAGAUGCUGUGUUGUGGAAUCCUUACCUUCAAAUGGAAGCAUGCUACAAAGAUUUUGUUUGCGUUGAAAAUGCUAAGAUUGGAAGUGUCCAGCUAGAGCCAGAACAAACUUGGACAGCUGUGCAGCAUCUUAGCAUAGCUUGAACUGUAAAUGUGCUUCUACAUCAGCAAUUAUUUUUGUCUUAUUUGAUACCCCAACAAAUAUGUAUCUUCUGUAUUAGUAAUUUUCUAUGCCACUACUAGUGGCAAGGGAGGGAUAGUGUACAAGAGGUAAACCUCAUUUAAACCUCAUUACGUUCGUAACAUUAUUGUAACAACAAAAAGGAAUAAUAAUUUAUUCUUUUUCUUUUUCUUUUA
Glycine soja is the source of this 1333-nucleotide RNA transcript. RefSeq lists it as uncharacterized. The transcript is spliced from 9 exons. NCBI's taxonomy places the organism in Eukaryota, Viridiplantae, Streptophyta, Magnoliopsida, Fabales, Fabaceae. The record is from RefSeq and is a predicted model, not a curated record.